RNAcentral lists this ribosomal RNA (425 nucleotides) under uncultured bacterium. Its description in RNAcentral is "partial 16S ribosomal RNA". It matches the Rfam family "Bacterial small subunit ribosomal RNA", at positions 354 to 796 of the family's 1533-position model. The record is from RNAcentral.
GUGGGGAAUCUUGCGCAAUGGGCGAAAGCCUGACGCAGCCAUGCCGCGUGAAUGAUGAAGGUCUUAGGAUUGUAAAAUUCUUUCACCGGGGACGAUAAUGACGGUACCCGGAGAAGAAGCUCCGGCUAACUUCGUGCCAGCAGCCGCGGUAAUACGAAGGGGGCUAGCGUUGCUCGGAAUUACUGGGCGUAAAGGGCGCGUAGGCGGACAGCUUAGUCAGAGGUGAAAGCCCAGGGCUCAACCUUGGAAUUGCCUUUGAUACUGGCUGUCUUGAGUUUGGGAGAGGUGAGUGGAACUUCGAGUGUAGAGGUGAAAUUCGUAGAUAUUCGGAAGAACACCAGUGGCGAAGGCGACUCACUGGCCCAAUACUGACGCUGAGGCGCGAAAGCGUGGGGAGCAAACAGGAUUAGAAACCCCGGUAGUCC